UUAUAGCUAAGUAAUAUUACACAGUAUGGAUGUGUGUUUAGCUUUACAUUGUUGAAAGUCUAAAUGCCUUUUUGAAAUGAUAUUUUCAACUUACAAUGGGCUUAUCAGGAUGUAAUCCCAUUGUAAGUUGAGGAAGAUGUGUAGUCUCCUUAUGUGUCAAGUUAUCUUUGUGUAACAUACAUUGUAUAUAAAAAUGUGUUCGUGAAAUGAUUUGAGACCUAGGAUAAUGGUACCUUUCUCUAGAGAGGAUUUUCCAUUUGCUUUUGCCAAACACCUGGGGAUAUUAGCAAUCUAGAAUUGCCUUUAUUCAAUUUCAAGAAUUGAGAUUUUCUAGGGCACGUAGACCUGAGGGCUGGAUUACUGUUGUUCACUUAUAUUAGUAAAGUAUAGCCCUUCUGGGUCCCAAACCAAGGUGUUCACCUGAGCCCCCAACCUUAACAGGUCCUAGAUUCCAACUUUUGUUGCCCCAUGAACCUGUCAAAAGCACUCCUGUCCACCGUCUCUUGCAAACUUUCAAGUUCCAGCAGGGAAAAUGUUCCCCUCUUCCUGUAUACUCUCUCCUCAAAUACCAAACUCACAUUUCUGUAUUUCUGUGUUCUUCUGGAUUUGGGGUCCUAAUUAUUCACUACCUCAUCAGCAGUCUGUGAGUUUCAAGCAAACGUUUUUGGGGUUCCCCUCCAGCUUUUCUAGUUGUCUGUGAUACAUCUAAAUUGCCUUGUCUUCCAUUUUCCAAAGCCAUUCAUAAACCCUCUGACCUUUGAUCUCAACUGUAAAAUGAGGGUAAUAAUUAUAUCUCUAUCUUAUAGAUGAAAGGAUUAAAUAAAGUUGCAUUGGUAAGGUGCUUAGCAAAGUACUUACAUCUAAUAAGUGCUCAAUAAAUAUUGGCAAUAAUAAUAAUAUCAUCUUGAUCAUUAUGAUAAUUGUGAAAUAUGUUUCUUAGCUGUGAGCAGUCCAAAACCAAACUAUUAAGGCAAAGAGAACUUUAAAGAAAUGCUUUGUACUGACCAAACCAGAUAUAAACCCAAAUCCCCAACAUGUUCCCCCAACGUCUGGCAGCAUUUGGUUCAAAAUCUUAAUGCCGAUAAUCCCACAUGUUUUCCAAUCAGUGAUUUUACCAUAGGCCAUAGGAAGAAUUUAUCCAAAUCGUAAAUGCUAACAGGUUCAAACAGAUACUUAGCUAUCAAAAAGACAUAGUCAAGAGGAAAAUUGCUGAGUAUAAAAAUUCCAGCUGGGUUAAGCUGUCUCUUUUUUCUUGUGACCUUUUUGUAAAUAGUUGAAUAAGUUUCUGCCAAUCAUGUCAAACUCUCCAUUUUUUUUCUUAACUUUUUCCCAUGCUUGAGUCAGGCUGUCUCUGUUAGCAUUAUUUCGGUUGUGUAUAACAGAGAAACCUAACCUUGCUCCAGACUAGAAUGGCAGCUCCAUAAGUUAUCAAAGCCUCAGGACCCUUCCAGUUCAUUGCUCUGCCAUCUAUACGAUGUGAUUCUAAUCUUCAAGGUCCACAUGGCUGCUAGAGCUCCAACAUCACAUCUGUAUUCCAGGCAGUUGGAUUUUAGGGGUGAGCAAAGGAGUUAGAGGGAAAGCACUCCUCCUUCCUUUUAAGAAGAUUUCUUGGAGGAUCCUCAUAAUACUUCUGUUUCUAUUUUAUGGACCAGAACAUAGUCACGUCAUCACACCUAACCAACAAGAAGGCUGGGAAAUGUAGUCCUUUACCUACGCAAGAUGUGUGUUCAUUCACUAAAGAGAAAGAGGUGAAUCAAUAUUAUGAGUUAACAGACAGUCUGUGCCUCAAAGGACUGUGGACUAAGAAAUAAAAAGAAUCGUAGUGAAUUUACUGAAAUACUAAGUUAAGUUUUUGUGAAAAGAUAAUAUUUUCCAGGUUACUUUAUCCCUAAUGCAACCAAUAGCAAGGGGGGCAUCAUGAGGAAAGGAAUCAAAGCUUAAGAACAUGGAUUGGAGAAAAAAAUUAUCUGAAAAAAAAAAGAGACUAAAAAGGUAUGGGCAAAAAGGAACAGGUGAAGAGUGAAUUUCUGGGCCUUCAACACAGUUUAGAAAACUUACGAAUUAAACGCCAAGCUGGUAUUUUUCAGGUGGAAUAUUUCUGUACAACAUCGUUGGAUAUGCAGGAAUUAAAAUCAGAACGCCUCCAACAGUGUGCCCAUCGCUUUCGUGAUGAAUGCUUUCAGAAUAGGUCCUCAGACACUUAUAUCUACCUCUUAAUUAAACACAUGAGAAUUUGAUUUUUCACUUAUGAAAUAUUUUCUCCGGGCCGUAUUCAAAACAGCUCUUUGGCUGGCUGGGUUUGUGAAGAAUUGUGCAUAGCACCCGCUCUGCUGAAUUCCAUGGCACUCCAGAAGAUUUUAUGCAGUGAUGUCAAAGGGUAAUUUUGCAAAGUAUAAAUGUCAUCAGUAAAGAAACUCAAUUUAAAUGAAGAUAGCAUUACCAUUACUCUGAAGUUACCCAGUUAAUAGUAAAAUAAAAUUUAUCCUUUCUGUAAAGAACAUGAAAUCACAAAUCUACGGAGGGAAGUUCUUGGAUGUUUCUUCAUGCUGCCCUUGGUCUCUUGUUGUCUCUCUAGCAUCCCAACCACAAUGGGGUCAUUGUGUGGGCUCUGCUUCUGCCAGCUUUCCAUGCUCAGCCCUGAGGACCCAUGUCUAUGACCAGGUGAAUGUUCCAUUCCUUUAACACUGUGUGUAAGGUGAUUCUUUUUCUCGCUAAAUUGAAAUGUUUUAUGUUAUAAAAGCAUCAUUCAAAAGGACCAGGAAAAAUGGAGUACUAACAUUUAAAAGCCUUAUAGGUGAUCUGCUUUUCCCUGAAUAAGAUCCCUGAAUGAGUGAAUAAAUGAGGAAGAAUAUGAUGUAAAUAAGGGAUGCACUAAAACAAAAUGACAAAGUUUAAAAUAAAAGGAUGGGCCAAGAUUUUUCAGCCACGUCCCAGUUAAAAUGAAGCAGAAGAGGGACCAGUCCUGAGUGGUUGAAGUUCCACGCACCCCACUUCGGCAGCCCAGGUUCAUGGGUUGGGAACCCAGGUGUGGACCUACUCCACUCAUCAGCUGUGCUGUGGAGGCAUCCCACCUAUGAAGCAGAGGAAGACUGGCACAGAUGUUAGCUCAGGGCGAAUCUCUUCACAAAAAACAAUAAAGCAGGAUAAAUUGUAUAAAAUAGAAUCCAAGUGAAAAAGAAAUGAAUAGUGUAAAAGUCAUCAAUCCACAAUAAAAAACAUAUCAUUGACCUUUAAGCACUAAAUAAAAUAGUUUUAAAAUAUAGAAAGUAAUGAUUAUUAAAAAUCAAAGCAGAAACAAAGACAUAUAGUCUGGAAGACUUUAUAGACCAUUCUUAGCCUUUGACAGAUCAUGUACGCAAAAAAUAAACAAAGGCAUAAAGAAUUUGAAAUAUAGGGAAAAAAGGAACCCUGCAAAAAAUACAUAGUUCCUUGUGUGUUUGAUACAUAUAUGAAAAUUGACAGUGUGCUAGAUUCACUAGGUUAGCCGACCCAACAAUCAUUGUAAACUUUGUAGUCUACCAUAGAGACCGGAAAACUGAAAAGGAACCUGUCUGUAGGCUCUCCUGUGGCUGGGGGUGGGCGCCCACGUGGUUCAGUUCUAGCAAAGACACAUCAGCACAAAUCCGCUAGUGCUGCCUCUUCACCUUCUGCUUUUCUUCCUGCCUGGACUGUACACGCUUACCCAAGACGCAGCACCAUCUCUCCAUAUUGGCGGAGCAGGAGAAGAGAAAGAGCCUUGUUCCUGUGGAGAUCCUAGACUUCCUUCUGUGGACCUGUUCCGGGACACAAAUCAGACACUUCCUCAUUCCAGCCCCUUGAUUGGGUUUUCUGGCACUUGCUGCUGAGG
This 3847-nucleotide long non-coding RNA is filed under the name Equus caballus (horse). Its description in RNAcentral is "lncRNA (ENSECAG00000051444.1)". The record is from RNAcentral. Lineage: Eukaryota; Metazoa; Chordata; Mammalia; Perissodactyla; Equidae.